Molecule: long non-coding RNA, 1417 nt
Organism: Lathyrus oleraceus (garden pea)
Lineage: Eukaryota; Viridiplantae; Streptophyta; Magnoliopsida; Fabales; Fabaceae
Exons: 3
Source: RefSeq, a predicted model, not a curated record
GCCAUGUUAAUCACGUUUCCAGCUCAGGUGAAAUUCAAAACGUAGCAACUCCCUCCAAUAGAACUCACCCUCUCUUCCAUCGCACCGAAUCUCGCAUAGAAAUUCUUCAAUUCUUCAUUAAACGUGUGGAUCGUAACAGACUACGCAUGAACCCUAGAAAAUAAUUCGAGAAAUUAAAUCACAAACUCUUGGAAUCAAAGCCCCGGGGGUUGGGGCUUUGAUUCCCCCAGCUAAAACCUACAUUUUGGUAACAAGAUUGGAGCAAACGACUAUGGAAAUGGGAUACUCAUCAGCAAAGAUGACGCGACGACGACCGAAGUCCAGAUUAAUCACUUGUUGAAAGUUACUUUGGAUUGGCUGCUAUGUCUUUGGAUGGAGGCUAUGUUUGUGGAUGUUAUACAGGUUGUGGCCAGACACUGCUCAAUGUACUCUAGUUUGGGCUUGAGUUUGUCAUUGUGUUUGGCCUUGAUGUAUGAAUGGUUGGUCCAUGUUAUAAUAUGGUCUAUAGAGAUAUACUUCAGAUGUGCUUUUGUGUGUGUUGUAAUGCGGUUAAGGUCAUAUAUUUUCCAAGUCAUGUGGUUAAUGUUAUGCAUAUUGAAAUAAACAUGGUUUGUGCAUUUGUUUAGAAAUUUGACAUCAUGAUGGAAAGGUGAUGAAAAGGCUUUGUUUGAAAUGUGUUACGACUAUGUUGUUCUGCCAGGUUCAGCAGCUAUAAGGUUUGGUUGAGAUGUGAAUGACAGGGCUUCCCCAUAAUAGCUAGACUGUUGUGCAUGUGUAUUGUUUGUAUAUAACUAGAUAUUGGGAUGAAAAUCUAUUGGUGAUUGGCUUGAGGUUUAUUAUGGAAUGUUAUGUGUAGAAUGUCACUAUAGGAUGUUUGUCCUUUGUUUUUGUGUCCUAAUGGUUUUCUUGAAUGUCAUGCUGAAAGGUGUUUUAAUGCAUACCAGGUUGCUAAAAUGAGAAGAUAGGUACAUGGCCAUACGUUUAGUGCUUUGGACUAUCCAUUAAUACUGUGUCUGCUGCAAGUGAGCUCAGGUUUAUAGACCAGUGAUAUUGGAUAUGGUUUCAAGGCAAUUCCAAAGCAUGACAAAGUAUUCAAAUCAAGGCGAAGUUCAAGGCCUGGUCCAUACCAAACUGGAUGAAAAAAAUAAGCUUUCUUGUUCAUGAAGCAAGUGACCAUGGAAUCUUAUGCAAGAGUGAAGAUGUAAUGAGUAUUAGGAUUUAGGUCAUGAAAAGUAGGUUAGUUAACUUUGGUCAACUAGUUGACCAAAAAGUCAAUUGUUGACUAAAGUCAACUGUAGGUCAAAAUCAUUUUUUUGUACAAUUUGCACGUGUUUUUUUUGUAUAAUUUGCAUGUCUUUUUUGUAUGGACAAUGUAACUUGUUUUUAAAUGAAUGAAAUGCACCUUUUAAAUGAGAAA